UUACCUAGUCUACCAGGUCAACUACGUGCCAAGUCCAGCGUGGGUCUCUCGGAAUCGUGGUCAAAAACACCAGCCAUAGAGUAGUUUCCACGUUUAUCGGAGAGUGGCGAGUCCAUGGUUGGGAACCUGUGCGUUCGCUCUGCAAGCACAGAUGCAUGUUCAGUAUUGAGUAGAAAAGUUUAGGUGGAUACCAGCGAUGAAUAUGAAUUGGCAGAUGUCCAGCUUAGGCAAGGCCGUGGGGUUGAUAAUUGGUACAUUCCAAGGUCAGCCUUAAUGGGAAAGGAGUAGAAGGCCUCCAGCUUCCCUGGUACUCAGGGUUCCUGGGUUUCCAUGGCAACUCCCCCAUCUGAAGUUAUUGGCCAAUUGAGUUACUGAUGCACUUGAUAGUUCUCUCUGGUAUAUCACCUUUUCAGGAGUCAAGGCCGGAUCCGCUAAGCUAAAACAGCUGCGUUCGGAGGGAAUUGAUAUUUCCUCAGUGUGUACUUCCUCACUGGCUUCCCAGUGUGUGUUCAGGUCUGGACCAGAGAACUCAGGUCAAGGAGGAACUCCAUCAACAGACACAGAUUCCCUAGUCUGUUACCAUGGAAACAUGGAGCCGCAUAUGUUAACUUUUUUUUUUUUUUUUAGCUGUAGCAGAAGGUACUGACUUGUUUGCACUCCAGUGCCAGCUGAAGGAGGGUGUCCUCCUGCCUCCCUCUGCCCGUUCUCACACCUUGACCGUGUGUCCGAGAAGCUUGGCACACACAGAGCGAUCUCCUGAAGCUCGGGUACCCCAAACAGGACGGCUUUCUUCCUUCAUAUGUGCUCUAGAGACUGCGGUCGCUCGUGGCUGGGUGCGGAGGGGCUCCUUGGUCACCAAGGGCCUUCUUGAGCCAAGACCGCGUACCUUUCAGGGCUGCUCAGGCCGACCGUUGGACGGCAGCACUUGGUAACGCUGAGCAGAAAGCUGCAGAAGUUGUCACAUGGCCGUCACACACAGCACCUGCGGGACAUUUGGCAGUUUCCAUUCAAGACCGGACCACGCUUCUGGCCUCGGCGCUGCCCCGUGUCUACCACACCAUCACCCUACACAGCUGUUUUCCUUAUUAGGCUAAGGAUCUCUUCUUGCAGUGCAUCAAUUUGAAAAUCCACGGUGAUGUGAACCUGCAGGGAGGUGUGCCUUAGGCAUGUCUGAACAGCUGAACUCAUAAUAAGGACCCGUACUAUUUGUAAAAUUGAUAAUCUCUAAAUAAAUGUGUCUGUGCUGAGUCAGACCUGUACAGAUAGAUGGUUUCUAAGUUUUUUUUUUUUUUCUCUCUCUGAAUCAAACAUGACUCCUACAUUUGCUCUGAGUAACCAGGAUCACUGAACCACAAAUAAACUAAGUUGGUCAUGAUUCUGUCAGGCCCACCAGCCAACGCUUAAGGAAAGUUCAGUCUGUGACAUACCUUCAGAGACGAGACAAAGCCUGGAUUAAGGUGCGAGCUGGAUUAAAGACCAAAAGAAUAAAGUAACAGGCUUAAGUAAGCAUGGGAAGAAAUCAUUAAGAAAGUGGGGUAGUUCAGUUUCAAACCUCCAAAGCCAUGUGCUCAGUAAACUGAUGUAGAAGGGGUAAGCUCGGGUGUUUGUUGUGGUCACGGAGAACUGUGGAACACACUGGAGAGUUUAUGAACAGUGGGAACUCAGGUGUCCCAGCUCUGGGGCCUGGAAGUCUGAGAUGAAAGCGAUGUCUUCAGAGUCUGGUGAUGCCUCCCAAGUCUGGUGAUGGUUCCUUGGCUACUGUGAGACUCCGCACUCCCUGGAACACGUGUUCUUAGCAGCGUGUAUCUAUUCCAGAAUAGCCGAGCUACAGACCCCAGUUUCCACGGCUGUGUGGUUACCUCUCCACGCGCUCCGCUCCAGGGGCAUGCUGUUUUCAAGUGCAAAACCCACCAUCUGUUCCUUUUACAUUUACAUUUUAUUUUUAUCCGUGUGUGUCUGCAUGCCCAAAGAGGCCAGAAGAGGGUGUUGGAACCCCUGGAGUUGGAGUUACAGGCAGUUGUGGAUGUAACAGCCUGAGGUGGAUGCUGGAAACUGAACUUGGGUCCUUUGGAAGAGCAGGAAGCGCUCUUAACCACUGAGCCAUCUCUCCAUCCCCAGUGCAGCCGAAUUAAAUACGACUUUUGCUGCGGUCCAAGCAGGAGGAGGGACAACCCCCUUUCUUAGUUUUCAGUGAAGCAGAUCAACAGCCCUAGUCUUCUGGAACAUUCUUACAGAACGCUGGAGUUACCUGCAGUCUCCUACCAAAGAAGCACUCCAGCUGUGCUGUUGCCAACUUGAAAGUCACAGGUUUCAAACAAGAGAUUCUUUUUCAUUUUGCACAGGGACAUCUAAGGUGCAGGAAGCCAUCCGUCACUGCUGUGAGCCAGGUGGUGGCCCCUGCUGCAAGGGCAGUCUUGCUGAUCCCCCACUCUCUGUCCUUUUUAUUGUGGUCAAUUGUCCCAUUUCUGUUUGCAGGUACAAGGGAAGUGGCUGGUCUGUUAGAAUGGCUGAGCUGUGUGGGGUGUUUGACACCACGGUGAGGACAUGACUCCAUGUCCCUUUCUGGCACCAGCCUGAGUUGGGAAGAGGCAGGAGGCCAUGGUGACAACCCACCAGGAGCCGCACUCCAGCCCCGUGUGUCCUGUCUCAGCCCCUAAGCCUCGUCCUUCCCGGCAGAGUGGGGAGUAGCAGAGCCUCCUCCAGACACUUGGCCACCCCCAAAAUAGCUGGGCUCUGUGUCGGGGGGAGACAAUGGCAGCCCUCUCCCGGCACUGAGCCUGAGCAUAUGUGCUUCUUGGUAGCAAGUGUGAAGGCUGACUAAACUUAGCGAGUGUGCCUCCCGCUUCUUCAUUUCCAUCCCACCCUUUGGUUUGUGUCGGAAGGAAUGGACUGUUUCCCUGCCAAGAACCACCUGCUGUACUUCAGUGGGGAAAAAAGCAAGCAUUUGACAUUUAGAAAAUGACUUUUCAAUAGAACUUGUGAGUUUGAAUUCUUCUAUAGAUGUCUACCAGAGUGGUGGUGUUCCAUCAGUCAGCCAGCCCUUCCUCAGCUAAAGCCUUCUAGUAGCUCUCAUUUAACUUAGAGAAAAGCCAGAGUCCCGUGAGAUGCCUUGAGACCCGGCUGUCCAUGGGCCUCCUCCAUGGCUCCUUUUGGCUCAUCUCUUUACAGUGACCUUCUCCUCACUCUGGGCUGUUCUACUGGCCUCAGUAAAUCCCCCAACUGCCAGGCAAGAGGAUUCCUUGAGUUUUUCCCUCCCAAGACUUUACUCCCUGGUCCUCACCUGGCUCCCCUCUCAAAUCCACCUUAGCUAAACUAAGCCACCUGGAGACCUUCCCUGGCCUCAGUGACACUUUUCCAACUUACUUGAUGGCAGUGUGUAGAUUUAUUUAUUUUUCUUAAACCCCCAAUGUGAUGUAAUGUUCUUUUAAGUUUAGACUGUUGGUUUUGCCAUGCAGGAGAUGAGUUCUUGCCCCUUUGAGGCAAGUGUUCUUCUACUGAAUUCCCUAGUCAUUUCUUUCAAUUGAUUAAUUAAUUGUUUUACCUUGUUAAUUAAUUCUUUGUCUCUCCAGCAUGUAUUCCAUUCCAUUAGGGUCAGAAUUGUAUGUGGUUUGGCAUUACCUUUCUGUGGUGCUUGGAAUGCUUCCUGGCAUGGCAUUUAAUAAAUAUCUGUGGAAUAAA
Peromyscus californicus insignis is the source of this 3678-nucleotide long non-coding RNA. RefSeq lists it as uncharacterized. NCBI's taxonomy places the organism in Eukaryota, Metazoa, Chordata, Mammalia, Rodentia, Cricetidae. The record is from RefSeq and is a predicted model, not a curated record. The transcript is spliced from 2 exons.